AAAAGAAGCAGAGGGGGCUUAGUGGUGGGGUGACUGCGUACCUUUUGUAUAAUGGGUCAGCGACUUAUAUUCUGUAGCAAGGUUAACCGUAUAGGGGAGCCGGAGGGAAACCGAGUCUUAAUUGGGCGUUAAGUUGCAGGGUAUAGACCCGAAACCCGGUGAUCUAGCCAUGGGCAGGUUGAAGGUUGGGUAACACUAACUGGAGGACCGAACCGACUAAUGUUGAAAAAUUAGCGGAUGACCUGUGGCUGGGGGUGAAAGGCCAAUCAAACCGGGAGAUAGCUGGUUCUCCCCGAAAGCUAUUUAGGUAGCGCCUCGUGAAUUCAUCUCCGGGGGUAGAGCACUGUUUCGGCUAGGGGGCCAUCCCGGCUUACCAACCCGAUGCAAACUGCGAAUACCGGAGAAUGUUAUCACGGGAGACACACGGCGGGUGCUAACGUCCGUCGUGAAGAGGGAAACAACCCAGACCGCCAGCUAAGGUCCCAAAGUCAUGGUUAAGUGGGAAACGAUGUGGGAAGGCCCAGACAGCCAGGAUGUUGGCUUAGAAGCAGCCAUCAUUUAAAGAAAGCGUAAUAGCUCACUGGUCGAGUCGGCCUGCGCGGAAGAUGUAACGGGGCUAAACCAUGCACCGAAGCUGCGGCAGCGACACUCAGGUGUUGUUGGGUAGGGGAGCGUUCUGUAAGCCUGUGAAGGUGGCCUGUGAGGGUUGCUGGAGGUAUCAGAAGUGCGAAUGCUGACAUAAGUAACGAUAAAGCGGGUGAAAAGCCCGCUCGCCGGAAGACCAAGGGUUCCUGUCCAACGUUAAUCGGGGCAGGGUGAGUCGACCCCUAAGGCGAGGCCGAAAGGCGUAGUCGAUGGGAAACGGGUUAAUAUUCCCGUACUUGGUGUUACUGCGAAGGGGGGACGGAGAAGGCUAUGUUGGCCGGGCGACGGUUGUCCCGGUUUAAGCGUGUAGGUGUGUGUUCCAGGUAAAUCCGGUUCACUUUAACACUGAGGCGUGAUGACGAGGCACUACGGUGCUGAAGCAACAAAUGCCCUGCUUCCAGGAAAAGCCUCUAAGCAUCAGGUAACAUCAAAUCGUACCCCAAACCGACACAGGUGGUCAGGUAGAGAAUACCAAGGCGCUUGAGAGAACUCGGGUGAAGGAACUAGGCAAAAUGGUGCCGUAACUUCGGGAGAAGGCACGCUGACAUGUAGGUGAAGUGAUUUACUCAUGGAGCUGAAGUCAGUCGAAGAUACCAGCUGGCUGCAACUGUUUAUUAAAAACACAGCACUGUGCAAACACGAAAGUGGACGUAUACGGUGUGACGCCUGCCCGGUGCCGGAAGGUUAAUUGAUGGGGUCAGCGCAAGCGAAGCUCCUGAUCGAAGCCCCGGUAAACGGCGGCCGUAACUAUAACGGUCCUAAGGUAGCGAAAUUCCUUGUCGGGUAAGUUCCGACCUGCACGAAUGGCGUAAUGAUGGCCAGGCUGUCUCCACCCGAGACUCAGUGAAAUUGAACUCGCUGUGAAGAUGCAGUGUACCCGCGGCAAGACGGAAAGACCCCGUGAACCUUUACUAUAGCUUGACACUGAACAUUGAGCCUUGAUGUGUAG
RNAcentral lists this ribosomal RNA (1594 nucleotides) under Salmonella enterica subsp. enterica serovar Derby. RNAcentral's name for it is "partial 23S ribosomal RNA". It matches the Rfam family "Bacterial large subunit ribosomal RNA", at positions 563 to 2141 of the family's 2925-position model. The record is from RNAcentral. Lineage: Bacteria; Pseudomonadati; Pseudomonadota; Gammaproteobacteria; Enterobacterales; Enterobacteriaceae.